This 98-nucleotide non-coding RNA is filed under the name unclassified sequences. RNAcentral's name for it is "skipping-rope RNA". It matches the Rfam family "skipping-rope RNA". From Rfam's summary of the family: Firmicutes, Fusobacteria, AlphaProteobacteria, Spirochaetes. Downstream gene The record is from RNAcentral.
GUUGUUUGAGGUGGAGGAAUUCGUACAGUCCACACGCCGAUGGUACUGACAAGGCACAGCCUGAGAGACGCAGGAGAAUUGUACGCCUGCCAAACAAC